GUGCUCGCUUCCGCAGCACAUACACCAAAAUUAGAACGAUACAAGAGAUUAGCAUGGCCCCUGCGUAAGGAUGACACACAAAUUUGCAAAGGCUUCCAUGGUUUC
This 105-nucleotide small nuclear RNA is filed under the name Microcebus murinus (gray mouse lemur). The record is from RNAcentral. Lineage: Eukaryota; Metazoa; Chordata; Mammalia; Primates; Cheirogaleidae.